This 733-nucleotide ribosomal RNA is filed under the name Bacillus sp. P3760. RNAcentral describes it as "bacterial SSU rRNA". It matches the Rfam family "Bacterial small subunit ribosomal RNA", at positions 23 to 739 of the family's 1533-position model. The record is from RNAcentral. Lineage: Bacteria; Bacillati; Bacillota; Bacilli; Caryophanales; Bacillaceae.
CUCAGGACGAACGCUGGCGGCGUGCCUAAUACAUGCAAGUCGAGCGGACUUACGGGAGCUUGCUCCCGUAAGUUAGCGGCGGACGGGUGAGUAACACGUGGGCAACCUGCCUGUAAGACUGGGAUAACUUCGGGAAACCGGAGCUAAUACCGGAUAACUCUUUCCCUCACAUGAGGGAAAGCUGAAAGAUGGUUUCGGCUAUCACUUACAGAUGGGCCCGCGGCGCAUUAGCUAGUUGGUGAGGUAACGGCUCACCAAGGCGACGAUGCGUAGCCGACCUGAGAGGGUGAUCGGCCACACUGGGACUGAGACACGGCCCAGACUCCUACGGGAGGCAGCAGUAGGGAAUCUUCCGCAAUGGACGAAAGUCUGACGGAGCAACGCCGCGUGAGUGAUGAAGGUUUUCGGAUCGUAAAACUCUGUUGUCAGGGAAGAACAAGUACCGGAGUAACUGCCGGUACCUUGACGGUACCUGACCAGAAAGCCACGGCUAACUACGUGCCAGCAGCCGCGGUAAUACGUAGGUGGCAAGCGUUGUCCGGAAUUAUUGGGCGUAAAGCGCGCGCAGGCGGUUUCUUAAGUCUGAUGUGAAAGCCCACGGCUCAACCGUGGAGGGUCAUUGGAAACUGGGAAACUUGAGUGCAGAAGAGGAGAGUGGAAUUCCACGUGUAGCGGUGAAAUGCGUAGAGAUGUGGAGGAACACCAGUGGCGAAGGCGACUCUCUGGUCUGUAA